AGUUCCAUUCUCAUGGUCGUUCAGUAGUUUUCAGUCCAGCGAAUGAUCCGACAGUUAAUGUACGUCGGUCGCCCACCCUCCUCCCCCUUCACUUCCCUUCCCUCUGCUUUUGACGUCAUCAUAAAAAAAGCAAAAUAUUUAUUUCAAAUUACUAUAACUUUUGAAUGAUAUAUCUAUUUUUAAUUCCGCCUACACAGCUGUGUUUAACAUGACGAGGCGAACAAAACUAGACCCCACUUCUAUACGUUUCGAAGAUUUUUAUUUUUCUAGUAGCAAUUUAUGUAUAUUAACUUAUAACAUAUAAGUUAUAUUGCUAACUUAUUCUGCUAAGUUAUACUGCUAACCUAUUCUGCUAAGUUGUAUUGUAUACCUUUUGUUUGUGUAUAAUAACUGCAUAACUUUCUAUAUACACUAGUGUAUUAGUUGUGUAACUUAUGUACAUAAGUUGUAUUGUGUAACUUAUGUCUCCCUCUAUUCCAAAUUAUAAAAUGUUUUGUUAUUUCUAUAUAUAUUAAUUUUGCUAUGUGUAUACAUAUAUAGUUGUGUCUAGAUACAUAGUAAAUUCAAUUUAGAAAAGUCCAUAUACCUUAUAAUUUCAAAAUAAUGGGAGUAAACUUAUGUACAUAAGUUAUAUACUAUAACUAGCAAUGUUGAGUUAUUCCUCGAACUUAUGUUGUCUUCUAAGUUAGUAUUGUUAAGUUUAUCGUGAAAGUUAUGCUUUUAAUUCCGUUUUAUAAGUUAUGAGCACAUGCUUCUUAAAAAAAAUAAAAAAAAGAGCGGGUGAUCUAGCAAAAGAAAGUGAAAAGAGAAUCGAAUGCCUCAAAAGAGAAAGAGAAAUGAUUCCUGUUUUGUCAAAAAAUAGAAAGUAACAUAUGCACUUUCCAAAAAAAGAAAAGAAAUGGUUGUCGAAAAUUGACCGCUGCUUUCGUUUCCACUGAACGUUCGUGAAAUAGUGGCGUUUCAUUCUCACGGUCGUUCAGUAGUUUUCAGUCCAGCGAACAAUCCGACAGUUAAUGUACGUCGGUCGCCCACCCUCCUCCCCCUCCACUUCCCUUUAACAUCGCGUCACCGAUUAUGAUUUGAGUUCUG
Molecule: long non-coding RNA, 1089 nt
Filed under: Sorghum bicolor (sorghum)
Lineage: Eukaryota; Viridiplantae; Streptophyta; Magnoliopsida; Poales; Poaceae
Description: long non-coding RNA (SBIC_LNC018200)
Source: RNAcentral